Molecule: ribosomal RNA, 327 nt
Filed under: uncultured eukaryote
Lineage: Eukaryota
Description: SSU rRNA
Rfam family: Eukaryotic small subunit ribosomal RNA
Source: RNAcentral
UAAUAGCGUAUAUUAAAGUUGUUGCGGUUAAAGCUCGUAGUUGGAUUUCGGUUGAGAGCGGCCGGUCCGCCGUUUGGUGUGCACUGGCUGGUCUCAACUUCCUGCGGAGGACGCGCUCUGGGCUUAACGGUCUGGACGUGGAGUCCGCGUGGUUACUUUGAAAAAUUAGAGUGUUCAAAGCGGGCUUACGCUUGAAUAUUUCAGCAUGGAAUAACACUAUAGGACUCCUGUCCUAUUUCGUUGGUCUCGGGACGGGAGUAAUGAUUAAGAGGAACAGUUGGGGGCAUUCGGUAUUUCAUUGUUCAUGAGGUGAAAUUGCUUGGAAUU